This 457-nucleotide long non-coding RNA is filed under the name Homo sapiens (human). RNAcentral's name for it is "HSALNT0336136". The record is from RNAcentral. Lineage: Eukaryota; Metazoa; Chordata; Mammalia; Primates; Hominidae.
AGGUGAAUCACGAAAGGCUUCAUCUUCUGGACACCAGCACAUCUUAGAUUGUGCCUUCCUUGUCAACACCAAGGCAAGCUGAGCCAGGAGGAUAGUGGAAGGUCACACAGGUAGAAAACCUGCUGACCAAACUGCCCCUGCACCAGACCUAAUACAUUUUGGGUUCGAUCCCUUAAUAUGUGUAAGCAUUUACACUGCAAGUAAGAGGAAAUUCUCGCUGGAAUGACCAGGCCAAGAAAAGAAAAAUGGAAACGACCUAAAAUGCCUAACAAUGGAAAUGAGUUGAAUCCAUCUGGCUCAUAGACAUGACGAAAUACUGAAUGGCCACCAUAAAUGGACAUAUGUUUAUUGAUGAGGAAAGAUCUUUAUAACAUAUUGUCAAGUGAACAAAAAAGCAUGCUAUAAAAAAAGGUCAUGCAGAAUAAUCUUAUUUUGUAAAAAAAAAAAAAGUGUGUAU